GACGAACGCUGGCGGCGUGCCUAAUACAUGCAAGUCGAACGAACCGCGACUAGGUGCUUGCACUUGGUCAAGGUGAGUGGCGAACGGGUGAGUAACACGUGGGUAACCUACCUCAUAGUGGGGGAUAACAGUCGGAAACGACUGCUAAUACCGCAUCGGACAUGGGAUCACAUGAUUCUGUGAGGAAAGGUGGCGCAAGCUAUCGCUAAGAGAUGGACCCGCGGUGCAUUAGCUAGUUGGUAGGGUAACGGCCUACCAAGGCGAUGAUGCAUAGCCGACCUGAGAGGGUGAUCGGCCACAUUGGGACUGAGACACGGCCCAAACUCCUACGGGAGGCAGCAGUAGGGAAUCUUCCGCAAUGGACGCAAGUCUGACGGAGCAACGCCGCGUGAGUGAAGAAGGUCUUCGGAUCGUAAAGCUCUGUUGUUAGAGAAGAACAGCGCAUAGAGUAACUGUUAUGCGUGUGACGGUAUCUAACCAGAAAGCCACGGCUAACUACGUG
Molecule: ribosomal RNA, 502 nt
Filed under: uncultured bacterium
Lineage: Bacteria
Description: partial 16S ribosomal RNA
Rfam family: Bacterial small subunit ribosomal RNA
Source: RNAcentral